GAUGAAGAACGCAGUGAAAUGCGAUAAGUAAUGCGAAUUGCAGAAUUCCAGUGAGUCAUCGAAUCUUUGAACGCACAUUGCGCCCUUUGGUAUUCCGAAGGGCAUGCCUGUUCGAGCGUCAUUAUCACCCCUCAAGCCCUCGGCUUGGUGUUGGACGGUUUGGUGGAGGCCCCCUCGGGGGUUCCUGCCCCUCCCAAAGACAAUGACGGCGGCCUCGUUGGACCCCCGGUACACUGAGUUCUUCACGGGACACGUAUCGGACACAUGGGUUUACGGGACACGGUCUGCCUCCCCUCAGGGAGAAUCUUUCUAAGGUUGACCUCGGAUCAGGUAGGGAUACCCGCUGAACUUAAGCAUAUCAAUAAGCGGAGGA
RNAcentral lists this unclassified non-coding RNA (373 nucleotides) under soil metagenome. RNAcentral's name for it is "partial contains 5.8S ribosomal RNA, internal transcribed spacer 2, and large subunit ribosomal RNA". The stretch from base 1 to 121 matches the Rfam family "5.8S ribosomal RNA", at positions 35 to 154 of the family's 154-position model. The record is from RNAcentral.